CCCGCUGAACUUAAGCAUAUCAAUAAGCGGAGGAAAAGAAACUAACAAGGAUUCCCCUAGUAACUGCGAGUGAAGAGGGAAAAGCUCAAAUUUAGAAUCUGGCGGCUUUGCCGUCCGAGUUGUAAAUUAGAGAAGUGUUUUCCAUGUAGGCGCCGUCGCAUCAAGUCUCUUGGAAAAGAGCAUCAGAGAGGGUGACAAUCCCGUCUUUGCGACUGGUGUCUGCUGUUGUGAUACACUCUCAACGAGUCGAGUUGUUUGGGAAUGCAGCUCCAAAUGGGUGGUAAAUUCCAUCUAAAGCUAAAUAUUGGCGAGAAACCGAUAGCGAACAAGUACCGUGAGGGAAAGAUGAAAAGAACUUUGAAAAGAGAGUUAAACAGUAUGUGAAAUUGUUGAAAGGGAAACGCUUGAAGUCAGUCUUGUUCUGCAGAAAUCAGCCUGACUCCGGUUUGGUGGACUUUCUGUCGAACAGGUCAGCAUCAGUUUUGACCGUUGGAGAAAGGCUUGGGAAAUGUGGCAUCUUCGGAUGUGUUAUAGUCUUGAGUUGAAUACAAUGGUUGGGACUGAGGAACUCAGUGUGACCUCGUGUUUGAGGGCCUUUGCUCUACAUGACGCACUUAGGAUGCUGACUUAAUGGCUUUAAUCGACCCGUCUUGAAACACGG
Molecule: ribosomal RNA, 661 nt
Filed under: uncultured fungus
Lineage: Eukaryota; Fungi
Description: eukaryotic LSU rRNA
Rfam family: Eukaryotic large subunit ribosomal RNA
Source: RNAcentral